UACAGAGGUCCCAAGCGUUGUUCGGAUUCACUGGGCGUAAAGGGUGCGUAGGCGGUCGGGUAAGUCUGAUGUGAAAUCUCACAGCUUAACUGUGAAACUGCAUUGGAUACUAUCCGGCUCGAGGAAUGGAGGGGAGACUGGAAUUCUCGGUGUAGCAGUGAAAUGCGUAGAUAUCGAGAGGAACACCAGUGGCGAAGGCGAGUCCCUGGACAGGUCCUGACGCUGAGGCACGAAAGCUAGGGGAGCAAACAGG
RNAcentral lists this ribosomal RNA (253 nucleotides) under uncultured bacterium. Its description in RNAcentral is "partial 16S ribosomal RNA". It matches the Rfam family "Bacterial small subunit ribosomal RNA", at positions 524 to 776 of the family's 1533-position model. The record is from RNAcentral.